Long non-coding RNA from Spinacia oleracea (spinach), 381 nucleotides. RefSeq lists it as uncharacterized. Lineage: Eukaryota; Viridiplantae; Streptophyta; Magnoliopsida; Caryophyllales; Amaranthaceae. The record is from RefSeq and is a predicted model, not a curated record. The transcript has 2 exons.
UUAGAUCUUGCAAGAAAGGCUUCGUCGGAGAUUCCAAUUUUAUGCCCGCCAGGGAACUCGGGGUCGCCUCUCUCUUCGUUUGAGCCGCCGCUACCGCCUUCUUUGCCGCCCUUAACGCCUCCGGCAUCCACAGUGUCUACACUCCGAGGAUUGCGCCUUAUGCGAGGAAUUUGAUGUGGUUCGUGAGCAAUGGGCUAAGUUUUUUACCAGCAAGUAUUUAUUAUUGGCUUUAGCGCGCUUGAUCGAGUUGGUUUAGUUGUUAUAGAAUAAAUUUUAUAUCAAAAUGUAUGUUUAUGUUGAAAUUGGAACAUAUAUUUAAAUGUAAUAUGUGCACUUUGGUUUUGGGAUAUAUAGUAUACAAAACUCCAGUUGUUGUUUUUA